GCUGUCGGGAACGUGUAUAUGUAGUCGGGGCUGAGAACACUUUCUGAAGAGUGCAGAGGACGCGGCGUUACAGGCGGGAGAAAAAGAGAUCUGAAGAAGGAAGGUUGUUCGUGCAGGGAGAGACCGAUUAUUACGGAGAUGACGCCAUUUCUGAUCAGGGUACUGUUAGCGGUGUGUUUCACUGCUCUGCUCAAUCUCCCCGCGUACCUGUCAGCAGCGGCGACCGUUAGACAGCCGCUUGAAGUGAAGAGGCAGUGGAGCAAACAGGCCAUGAUGUACAACCAAGGUGGGAACACGCAAGGAAGAAGAUCCUGGGACGAGACACAGGGAUUCAGGGAGU
Long non-coding RNA from Branchiostoma floridae (Florida lancelet), 340 nucleotides. RefSeq lists it as uncharacterized. The record is from RefSeq and is a predicted model, not a curated record. NCBI's taxonomy places the organism in Eukaryota, Metazoa, Chordata, Leptocardii, Amphioxiformes, Branchiostomatidae. The transcript has 4 exons.